AUGUCACUGGACAUGAUUCAGUGCUCCUCUGGAGAAAUUGUCCUCACACAGUCUCCAGCCUCCCUGUCACUUUCUCCCGGACAAAAGGCCACAAUCUCCUGCCGGGCCAGUCAGAGUCUUAGCAACAACUGGUUACACUGGUACCAGCAGAAACCUGGGCAGGCUCCCAGGCGCCUCAUCUAUAAUGCAAACAGCAGGCCCAAUGGCAUCCCAGCCCGCUUCAGCGGCAGCGGGUCUGGGACAGACUUCACGCUCACCAUCAGCAGCCUGGAGCCUGAGGAUGCCGCCACUUACUACUGUUACCAGAGUAAUAGUGCACCUCCCACAGUGACACAGGCCUGA
This is a non-coding RNA of Condylura cristata (star-nosed mole), 342 nucleotides long. The record is from the annotation of a RefSeq genome assembly. Lineage: Eukaryota; Metazoa; Chordata; Mammalia; Eulipotyphla; Talpidae.